Molecule: long non-coding RNA, 488 nt
Filed under: Nicotiana benthamiana
Lineage: Eukaryota; Viridiplantae; Streptophyta; Magnoliopsida; Solanales; Solanaceae
Description: long non-coding RNA (NBEN_LNC007068)
Source: RNAcentral
CAGUACAACUGAAUGUGUCAAAGUGCAACAUCCAUGAUUAGUUACAAUAAAGUAAAACCCUCGAAACACUAUGAAUCAAUUUAGCACUUAUUAAUAGGAAAUAUCAUGCAUAACUUCAUUUCAUUUCCAAUUUGAGAGCUACAUCACAACAAAUCCAGAAUAUGUACCUAGAAAUGUGAAACAAGGAAGGAAGAGAGGUUCAGCAAGGUGCAGCAACAUGAACAAUAUUCAACCACCCAAAAUAAACCCAAAAAUGAUCGACGAACACCACUUUAAACCAAAUUUAGACCCACAAUCAAACCAAAUAAACUCAGAAUCAAAACACACCCAGAACUUAAAUGCAAACUCCAGAAUAUCAAUCAAACUCAAAUCAUUUCAACCUUUAGCUAGCCGAGAAUUAUUUUAGAGUGAAAACACCAAGGAUUUCAGAAUUUUUUCAAUGGAAUUAUUUUGGAGGUUCUAGCCGUCUAGAAUUUCAGAGGUUUUUC